This 865-nucleotide ribosomal RNA is filed under the name Clathrosporium intricatum. RNAcentral describes it as "LSU rRNA". It matches the Rfam family "Eukaryotic large subunit ribosomal RNA", at positions 51 to 933 of the family's 3401-position model. Lineage: Eukaryota; Fungi; Ascomycota; Leotiomycetes; Helotiales; Gelatinodiscaceae. The record is from RNAcentral.
CGGAGGAAAAGAAACCAACAGGGAUUACCUCAUUAACGGCGAGUGAAGCGGUAACAGCUCAAAUUUGAAAUCUGGCUCUUUCAGGGUCCGAGUUGUAAUUUGUAGAAGAUGCUUCGAGUGUGGUCCCGGUCUAAGUUCCUUGGAACAGGACGUCAUAGAGGGUGAGAAUCCCGUAUGUGACUGGGUGCCUUCGCUCAUGUGAAGCUCUUUCGACGAGUCGAGUUGUUUGGGAAUGCAGCUCUAAAUGGGUGGUAUAUUUCAUCUAAAGCUAAAUAUUGGCCAGAGACCGAUAGCGCACAAGUAGAGUGAUCGAAAGAUGAAAAGCACUUUGGAAAGAGAGUUAAACAGUACGUGAAAUUGUUGAAAGGGAAGCGCUUGCAACCAGACUUGCCCGCCGUCGAUCAUCCGGGGUUUUCUCCGGUGCACUCGGCGGUGUUCAGGCCAGCAUCGGUUUCGAGGGUGGGAUAAAGGCCUUGGGAAUGUAGCUUCUUUCGGGGAGUGUUAUAGCCCUCGGUGCAAUGCCGCCUCUCGGGACCGAGGACCGCGCUUCGGCUAGGAUGCUGGCGUAAUGGUUGUAAGCGACCCGUCUUGAAACACGGACCAAGGAGUCUAACAUCUAUGCGAGUGUUUGGGUGUCAAACCCAUACGCGUAAUGAAAGUGAACGGAGGUAAGAACCCUUAAGGGCGCAUUAUCGACCGAUCCUGAUGUCUUCGGAUGGAUUUGAGUAAGAGCAUAGCUGUUGGGACCCGAAAGAUGGUGAACUAUGCGUGAAUAGGGUGAAGCCAGAGGAAACUCUGGUGGAGGCUCGCAGCGGUUCUGACGUGCAAAUCGAUCGUCAAAUUUGCGUAUAGGGGCGAAAGACUA